This 388-nucleotide ribosomal RNA is filed under the name uncultured bacterium. RNAcentral's name for it is "bacterial SSU rRNA". It matches the Rfam family "Bacterial small subunit ribosomal RNA", at positions 29 to 417 of the family's 1533-position model. The record is from RNAcentral.
AUUGAACGCUGGCGGCAUGCCUAACACAUGCAAGUCGAACGGUAACGCGGGGGCAACCCUGGCGACGAGUGGCGGACGGGUGAGUAAUACGUAGGAAUCUGCCCAUUUGUGGGGGGAUAACCCGGCGAAAGCCGGGCUAAUACCGCAUACGCUCUACGGAGGAAAGCGGGGGAUCGUAAGACCUCGCGCUAAUGGAUGAGCCUACGUCGGAUUAGCUAGUUGGUAGGGUAACGGCCUACCAAGGCGACGAUCCGUAGCUGGUCUGAGAGGACGAUCAGCCACACUGGGACUGAGACACGGCCCAGACUCCUACGGGAGGCAGCAGUGGGGAAUAUUGGACAAUGGGGGCAACCCUGAUCCAGCAAUGCCGCGUGUGUGAAGAAGGCCU